RNAcentral lists this ribosomal RNA (460 nucleotides) under uncultured bacterium. RNAcentral's name for it is "partial 16S ribosomal RNA". It matches the Rfam family "Bacterial small subunit ribosomal RNA", at positions 338 to 795 of the family's 1533-position model. The record is from RNAcentral.
CCUACGUGAGGCAGCAGUGAGGAAUAUUGGUCAAUGGACGCAAGUCUGAACCAGCCAUGCCGCGUGCAGGAAGACGGCUCUAUGAGUUGUAAACUGCUUUUGUACGAGGAUAAACGCAGAUACGCGUAUCUGUCUGAAAGUAUCGUACGAAUAAGGAUCGGCUAACUCCGUGCCAGCAGCCGCGGUAAUACGGAGGAUUCAAGCGUUAUCCGGAUUUAUUGGGUUUAAAGGGUGCGUAGGCGGUCGGAUAAGUUAGAGGUGAAAUCCCGAGGCUCAACUUCGGAAUUGCGUCUGAUACUGUUCGGCUAGAGAGUAGUGGAGGUAGGCGGAAUGUAUGGUGUAGCGGUGAAAUGCUUAGAGAUCAUACAGAACACCGAUUGCGAAGGCAGCUUACCAAGCUACUUCUGACGUUGAGGCACGAAAGCGUGGGGAGCAAACAGGAUUAGAUACCACUGUAGUC